This 468-nucleotide ribosomal RNA is filed under the name uncultured bacterium. RNAcentral describes it as "partial 16S ribosomal RNA". It matches the Rfam family "Bacterial small subunit ribosomal RNA", at positions 28 to 507 of the family's 1533-position model. The record is from RNAcentral.
GACGAACGCUGGCGGCGUGCUUAACACAUGCAAGUCGAACGGAAAGGCCCUGCUUUUGUGGGGUGCUCGAGUGGCGAACGGGUGAGUAACACGUGAGUAACCUGCCCUUGACUUUGGGAUAACUUCAGGAAACUGGGGCUAAUACCGGAUAGGAGCUCCUGCUGCAUGGUGGGGGUUGGAAAGUUUCGGCGGUUGGGGAUGGACUCGCGGCUUAUCAGCUUGUUGGUGGGGUAGUGGCUUACCAAGGCUUUGACGGGUUGCCGGCCGUAGAGGGUGACCGGCCACAUUGGGACUGAGAUACGGCCCAGACUCCUACGGGAGGCAGCAGUGGGGAAUAUUGCACAAUGGGCGGAAGCCUGAUGCAGCAACGCCGCGUGCGGGAUGACGGCCUUCGGGUUGUAAACCGCUUUCGCCUGUGACGAAGCGUGAGUGACGGUAAUGGGUAAAGAAGCACCGGCUAACUACGUG